GGGGAAUUUUCCGCAAUGGGCGAAAGCCUGACGGAGCAAUACCGCGUGAGGGAGGAAGGCUUUUGGGUUGUAAACCUCUUUUCUCAAGGAAGAAGCACUGACGGUACUUGAGGAAUCAGCAUCGGCUAACUCCGUGCCAGCAGCCGCGGUAAUACGGAGGAUGCAAGCGUUAUCCGGAAUUAUUGGGCGUAAAGCGUCCGCAGGUGGUGCAUCAAGUCUGCUGUCAAAGACCAGGGCUUAACCCCGGGAAGGCAGUGGAAACUGGUGGACUAGAGUACGGUAGGGGUAGAGGGAAUUCCCAGUGUAGCGGUGAAAUGCGUAGAGAUUGGGAAGAACACCAGUGGCGAAGGCGCUCUACUGGACCUGUACUGACACUCAGGGACGAAAGCUAGGGGAGCGAAAGGGAUUAGAUACCCCUGUAGUC
RNAcentral lists this ribosomal RNA (424 nucleotides) under uncultured cyanobacterium. RNAcentral's name for it is "bacterial SSU rRNA". It matches the Rfam family "Bacterial small subunit ribosomal RNA", at positions 356 to 795 of the family's 1533-position model. The record is from RNAcentral. Lineage: Bacteria; Bacillati; Cyanobacteriota.